UGUUUCGGCUAGGGGGCCAUCCCGGCUUACCAACCCGAUGCAAACUGCGAAUACCGGAGAAUGUUAUCACGGGAGACACACGGCGGGUGCUAACGUCCGUCGUGAAGAGGGAAACAACCCAGACCGCCAGCUAAGGUCCCAAAGUCAUGGUUAAGUGGGAAACGAUGUGGGAAGGCCCAGACAGCCAGGAUGUUGGCUUAGAAGCAGCCAUCAUUUAAAGAAAGCGUAAUAGCUCACUGGUCGAGUCGGCCUGCGCGGAAGAUGUAACGGGGCUAAACCAUGCACCGAAGCUGCGGCAGCGACACUCAGGUGUUGUUGGGUAGGGGAGCGUUCUGUAAGCCUGCGAAGGUGGCCUGUGA
This 359-nucleotide ribosomal RNA is filed under the name Salmonella enterica subsp. enterica. RNAcentral describes it as "partial 23S ribosomal RNA". It matches the Rfam family "Bacterial large subunit ribosomal RNA", at positions 911 to 1266 of the family's 2925-position model. The record is from RNAcentral. Lineage: Bacteria; Pseudomonadati; Pseudomonadota; Gammaproteobacteria; Enterobacterales; Enterobacteriaceae.